Molecule: long non-coding RNA, 1815 nt
Organism: Papaver somniferum (opium poppy)
Lineage: Eukaryota; Viridiplantae; Streptophyta; Magnoliopsida; Ranunculales; Papaveraceae
Exons: 3
Source: RefSeq, a predicted model, not a curated record
ACUUUUAUUUUCUCUUUUCUACUUCUUUCCUCUUCUUCUCCGUUUCACCUCUUUCUCUUCUCUGUUGUUCUUCUUCUUCUCGUUUCUUCGUUCUCUUCUCCUGCCGUUUAUCUGUGAGAUCAAUUGGGAAGCUCAGUUGACGAUGUGUAGAUGUUCAAGGUGAUGGUAUUGCUGUGAAUAAUAAAAGAGGAUGAUUAUGGAUUGUUGGUGUUCGUGAUGAAUAUAGAGAAGCAGUUAUGGUUUUGAUUUUAGGAUACAAUUCUGGAAAUUGAUUGAAGGUUUAGAAGUCGGAUUGAAGGUGGGUUUGUUAUGAAUUAAGAGUUAGGGGAUUCGAAGAUGAGGCCGAUGAAUCGAAGAAUUAGGGUUUGUAGAUUUGUUUUUGGAGUUGUUUGGAAUUGAUCAGUAAGUUGAGUUAGUGAUAAUCAGAGAAUAAAAGGGUUGUUGAUGAAUUUAUGUUUCUGGAUUGUUUGGAUGAAGAAUCGAAGAAUUGGAAAUUAGGAUUCCUAAAUAGAAUUGGGAUUUAGGGUUCUUGAGUUUGGAUUGCAGAUGGGAAAGAUCAAACUGUUGUUGAAUGAAAUAAGAAGACUUCAGAGUUGGUUAAAAAGGUAAUUGUUCUUCUAUGUGAUUUUUCUUUAAGUCCUGCAAUUUCUGUUCGUUGAGUUUUGUAUGGUUGUUAAUGAAGCUAAGACUUGACAUGAAUAUAAAAUGGAGUUUUGGUUGAAGAUUAGGUUUAUGUUGAUGUUUAAGGAUUUGGUGGCUUUCCUUUGAGAAGGUUGGAGUUCUGAUAGAUGCAGGGAAGGAUUGUGGUUGUAGUUAGGGUUAAAUUACAGGGGAUAUGGAUAAAUGGUGGAGUAAGUAAACAAAGUUGCAAAUGGUGAUGCAGUUGUGACUAAUGAAAUUGUAAGUGUGAUGUUGGUUGGAUGAUGCAAUGAAGAACUAGUGGUAAUUUAAUGAGUUACAGAACUAUGGAGAUGGUGAUAUGCAGUGACAGUGGUGUUGCAGGGAGUUAUUGUGUUGAUGCAGAGAUUGAGUUGUUAGAGCCGGUAUUGAGAUGAGUUUGGUAUUGCAGUUGUGAAUGCUACAUAAAUGUGUAAUGUGAUUGCAGGUUGAUGUAAUGUUGUAUUGAGGGUGUUCAUAGCUGGUUUGGAAUUAGUAAUGGAACUUAGUUUGAUUCAAUUUGGAGGCUGUGCAGUCGAAGCUAGAAGGGAAGAAAAAGAGUAAAACUGUAUUGUCUCAGAUUGUGUUAGUGUUGGUGCUGUUUGGUUCUAGAUGGGUUCAAGUAUUAUAUGAAUGAUUAGGAUAUUAUUUUGGUGAGAAUGAGUUCUGAUGAGUGUUGAAACCUUGAACUGAGAUAUGACUGGAGCUAAGUUGAAGCAGUUCAGUUCUUAGAGGAAGUUGUGAGGAUUUUAUGGAGGUGCAGGUGAUGUUGGUUUGGUAUGUACAGGGUCUUGGAGAUAUUAAGGGAGUUGAAUUGCAGAGUCGAAUAGUUACAGUUGGGGAAAUGUUUUGGUUAUUACAGAGGUUUGUAUUAGAAUGUAGUGGAACUGAAUGAAGAGAAGUUAGAUGGUUGAUUACAUUUUAGAUAGUGUUGGCUGUCAAAAGCUUGGAACUGCAUAUUGCAGUUAGUCUGUGUUAACAACGAUCGAUUCAAAGAAUGAACCAGUGGACCGUGGAUCACGAGGUAGGCGUGGCUUGUCAUCAAAAGAGUUUCAGAGACAGAUAAGAGUUGCGCAGCGGAAGAUUCGAGGAGUUGAGUUCGUUAGUUGGUUAACAUUUGCUAUGUUUAUUAUGUUGUAUAUUCUAUUUGUAACCAAA